CGUCGCUGUCCGAUGAAAACCGCGUAUGUCCAUUUUUGCCGAUUUUGAGAUUUUACGAUGAUAGUUAUGUCCAGGUUCAUUUCCGUAUACAGUAUGCGUCAUGAACCUAAUUGACCAAUGAAAAGUUGUGAAACACGUCAUCUGAUUUUCAAGUAUAUCCAUUUGGUGUCAAAGCUGUCAGUCCCGCCGCGUAUCUCCCGCCCUGUGGAGUCAUCUCAUUAGCGUCUCUGGAAGCGCAUCAUCGGGUAGCCGAAUAACACUUUGAAGGAUGUCUUUCUCUCUUAAGGAGAUGUGUGAAAUGGUCAAUGUCAGGUAUGAUAGGGUACUUGAGGCGAACGUGAGGGUCAACAAUGAGGAGGAAGGUUUGUAGGAAACUAAAAUUGAGUCAACCAGACAGGAAAGUCUAAACUGUAUUCAUUACUCUAAAUGGUUUCCCUCUGUCAUUUUCAGAUUCAGUUGAAAGUGACAGUGCAAAUACAGCUGCCAAUGAGGGUAUGUACUUUAGGCUUAAAUUAUUUUUCUCCCAGUAGCAGCUACCUACUAUUCUGCAACCCAAAGCCUAUUGAUGUGUUGCACAUUAAGAUGAAAGCCUGCCACACUUGUUGUUCUGAUUCCCUUGAUCAAGGAAGGAAUCCAAAUACUAACUCAUCAAAUUGUAUGUAGCUAAAUUAAAAAUGAUUACUCGUAGAGAAUAGGUACGUUUGCUGCUCAGUUCUGAAUUUUUAAAGCAUUGUCGUGUGCUAAAUGUACAUUAUAUUUUAUUGUUGUUAGAUUCUCUGGAAAGUGAUAAUGACAAUCACUCUGAAAGUGCCAGUGAUGGUAAGUAUCUUAUUAUUCUUAUUCUCAGAUUAGGCUACACUACAGCCUCCACCUCACAUUGGUUUUGAGUUGGACAGACUAAAGCCCAUUACUAAUUACAAAUCUAGUGUAUUUAAUCAAUUAUGAGUCCAAAUGAAUGCAAUCUUAUAUCAGAAUGAUGUCAUAAGUGCAUUUGUUGUACUAAAUGUGUUCCUCUAUAUUGCUCUAAGACUCACUUGAACACGAUCCUGAAAAUGACCCGGAAUACACACCUGUCAAUGAAGGUGAGUAACUUAUUGUCAAUUUGUUUUUUUACAUUUCUGUCAGCUACUAAUGGGCUCAGCCACACACACACACACACACACACACACACACACACACACACACACACACACACACACACACACACACACCACUGCCAAACUUUAAUGCAUGCCUACACACUGACACACAUACUUCCACAUGCUAAGAAACCAUGUAAGAGAAAUGUGAAUUUGUGAAACAUGUUUUCUUUUGUUUUUCUUUUAAUCAUAAGCUGUUGAUGUUGAUGUUGCUGUUGACCGGGGAAGGUCAAGAAAGAGGGCCAACCCAGACGCUUGGAAGGGUAACAUUCAGAAAAGGAGAAGAAUGAGGGGCCAAUCAUAUCUUGGACGAAAAAAAAAUGAAUUCAUCAACAUAGAAGAAAGAAAAAUGGAGGGGCGGUGCCUGGCUGAGGCCUGCCGGAAAUCCAGCAAACUACACUGCACCGAAAUCGAUGAAGGGAAGAGGGAAAAAAUAUUCAAGUAUU
This is a long non-coding RNA of Gadus macrocephalus (Pacific cod), 1585 nucleotides long. RefSeq lists it as uncharacterized. The record is from RefSeq and is a predicted model, not a curated record. Lineage: Eukaryota; Metazoa; Chordata; Actinopteri; Gadiformes; Gadidae. The transcript is spliced from 2 exons.